UACAGAGGUGGCAAGCGUUGUUCGGAAUUACUGGGCGUAAAGGGCGCGUAGGCGGCCAUCUAAGUCAGACGUGAAAUCCCCCGGCUUAACCUGGGAACUGCGUCUGAUACUGGACGGCUUGAGUAUGGGAGAGGGAUGUAGAAUUCCAGGUGUAGCGGUGAAAUGCGUAGAUAUCUGGAGGAACACCGGUGGCGAAGGCGGCAUCCUGGACCGAGAUUGACGCUGAGGCACGAAAGCGUGGGGAUCAAACAGG
Molecule: ribosomal RNA, 253 nt
Filed under: uncultured bacterium
Lineage: Bacteria
Description: partial 16S ribosomal RNA
Rfam family: Bacterial small subunit ribosomal RNA
Source: RNAcentral